AAGCUACCGACGAGGCGCUCUAACUAGACAUAACAAACAUAAGUUGGUCACCUUUCAUUGAUAAGAUCAAGCAGACAGAACUAUCUCACAUAGGUUGUCAGAUACAAAGAUUACUUAUGUUUCGACAAACGCAACAGCUCAGCCUAACGGUGCACCGAGGGCAGAUGAGUACCAAAAAGACACACCAGCCCAACUACCAAGAAUUAGGGCCAAGCUUUGUUCUCAACACUCUAGACGAUUCAAUACUGAAACCGCACAUUACCAAUAGCCAAGAAUCACGGACCAAGUGGUCCAAUUCCACCCGCUGCGCACAAUGUGGCCCAAACCAGCCCUAGCUUUGCACUCACAGAUGUGCCUACCUGCUCCACAACUCUCGGCAGCCCUUAAUCUGUCACCAUGGCUUCUAACUGUGUCGAUCUUGUACCACAACUCCUAGGUGGGCCGAUCUUGCCCUGUGGCUCGUGCCGAGCAAGCCCAUGGCACUCCAAACUUUAAAGCAUCCAAUGAUGGAGUAUAGGACAAAGCUUUAUUAGUAGCCCUUGCUAGUGAGACUUAGUGGUGAAGAAACUUGCAAUCCAUUCAGUUUCUUAGCUGAUCACCAACCAAGCCUCAAAAGGGCACACGACGAAACAUCUAACGAUGGCGCAAUACUUGAAGAAAGUUCGGUAGCAGCUCGAUACACUUCCCACUUACACCCUUACGUGAGUUCCACAAGCAGUUCAAAGUCUUAAGCAUAUCGCCAAACAAUACCUCGUAGGCUGAGGAUUAUUGCAGUUGUCCAGCUUUCCUCAGCUGCACUCACAACAAAAACUUCCAUACUCUCUAGUGCGAGAGGGUAAACCAAUUCCCCAACACCCAUCAUCUAGGUCUGCUUUCUAGUGCGAGAGGAUAAACUAAUUGUUCUCCAGUGCGAGAGGGUAAAUCAAUUCCCGGACACCCAUAUGGGUAAGCUCUCCAGUGCGAGAAGAUAAACUAAUUGCUCUCCAGUGCGAGAGGGUAAAAUAAUUCCCCGACACCCAUAUAGGUCUAUUUUCCAAUGCAAGAGGUUAAACUAAUUGCUCUCUAGUGCGAAAGGGUAAACCAAUUCCCUGACACCCAUAUAGGUAAGCUCUCCUAUGUGAUAGGGUAAACAAAUCGUUCUCUAGUGCAAAAGGGUAAACCAAUUGUUCUCCAGUACAAGAGGGUAAACCAAUUGUUCUCCAGUGCGAGAGGGUAAACCAAUUGCCCUCCAGUGCGAGAAAGUAAACUAAUUCUCCCUAACAUCUAUCUGGUAAGCUCUCCAAUUUGAGAAUGCCACAUAGCUCAAAGGAUCGAAGGCUUGAAGACCAACUAGGCAACGAAUGGUCAGGGGGCAGUAAUCAUUUUGCACUUAACAGUUCACUCAUCCGACACUUCAUCUUCAGCAGCUCCGAUCUUGGCAGCUGCAUCCUUGACUGCUCCAUCUACGGCAGC
This 1452-nucleotide long non-coding RNA is filed under the name Malus domestica (apple). RNAcentral's name for it is "long non-coding RNA (MDOM_LNC017488)". The record is from RNAcentral. Lineage: Eukaryota; Viridiplantae; Streptophyta; Magnoliopsida; Rosales; Rosaceae.